RNAcentral lists this ribosomal RNA (254 nucleotides) under uncultured bacterium. RNAcentral describes it as "partial 16S ribosomal RNA". It matches the Rfam family "Bacterial small subunit ribosomal RNA", at positions 524 to 776 of the family's 1533-position model. The record is from RNAcentral.
GACGUAGGGACCGAGCGUUGUCCGGAUUCAUUGGGCGUAAAGAGCUCGUAGGCGGCUGUUCAAGUCGAACGUGAAAACUCGGAGCUCAACUCCGAGCCUGCGUUCGAUACUGGACGGCUAGAGUCUGGUAGGGGGGAUCUGGAAUUCCUGGUGUAGCGGUGGAAUGCGCAGAUAUCAGGAGGAACACCGGUGGCGAAGGCGGUCAUCUGGGCCAGUACUGACGCUGAGGAGCGAAAGCGUGGGGAGCGAACAGG